UACGGAGGAUCCAAGCGUUAUCCGGAUUUAUUGGGUUUAAAGGGUGCGUAGGCGGCUUUUUAAGUCAGUGGUGAAAGACAACAGCUCAACUGUUGCAGUGCCAUUGAUACUGAAGAGCUUGAGUACAGAUGAGGUAGGCGGAAUUUAUGGUGUAGCGGUGAAAUGCAUAGAUACCAUAAAGAACACCUAUUGCGAAGGCAGCUUACUAGCUGUAACUGACGCUGAGGCACGAAAGUGUGGGGAUCAAACAGG
Molecule: ribosomal RNA, 252 nt
Filed under: uncultured bacterium
Lineage: Bacteria
Description: partial 16S ribosomal RNA
Rfam family: Bacterial small subunit ribosomal RNA
Source: RNAcentral